RNAcentral lists this ribosomal RNA (300 nucleotides) under uncultured Gammaproteobacteria bacterium. RNAcentral's name for it is "bacterial SSU rRNA". It matches the Rfam family "Bacterial small subunit ribosomal RNA", at positions 1037 to 1337 of the family's 1533-position model. Lineage: Bacteria; Pseudomonadati; Pseudomonadota; Gammaproteobacteria. The record is from RNAcentral.
GGUGCUGCAUGGCUGUCGUCAGCUCGUGUUGUGAAAUGUUGGGUUAAGUCCCGCAACGAGCGCAACCCUUAUCCUUUGUUGCCAGCGGUUCGGCCGGGAACUCAAAGGAAACUGCCGGUGAUAAACCGGAGGAAGGGGGGGAUGACGUCAAGUCAUCAGGGCCCUUACGAGUGGGGCUACACACGUGCUACAAUGGCGCAUACAAAGAGAAGCGACCUCGCGAGAGCAAGCGGACCUCAAAAAGUGCGUCGUAGUCCGGAUUGGAGUCUGCAACUCGACUCCGUGAAGUCGGAAUCGCUA